AUUGUCUCACCCCAAUCCCAUUGUGAUUGUGUCUUGUCUUCCACUGAUUUUGUUUUCCAUGUUUGUCUGGUUUUUGUCUUUGUCUCGGUCUGCCUUGUCUUGUCCGUCUACCCCUUGGUGAGCACCUGGAGGUGCUCAUUAAAGGGGGGGCUUCUGUCAUGGCUCUGCUUCCUUAGUCAUGUUUUUCUUGGUCCUGUAGCAGAGCCUGUGGAGAGAAACAUAUUAUUGUCCAUUUGACAAUAAUAUACAUUCUCUCCAGUGUCUUGUCAUUGACCCCAUUCCUCUCGUUUCCUCGUUAUCUUUCCCUGAGUGUUUAAUGUCCCACACCUGCCCCAUGUCGUUAUCCCUCGUUUGUCUUCCCUAUAUAUACCCUCUUGUUUCUUUGUCCUGUGCUCUUGUAUUGCGUGAACUGCGUUGUGUUGGAUGGUGUUGUGUUCAUGUUCGUGCGUUUACCCGUGUUCCUGAUCAUGUUUUGUGCCUGAUAUUAUUUAAGACGUUUGGUUGUGUCCUUGAGUUUAGUUAUUUGUCUUGUUUUCAUUUUGCCCCCUCGUGGGAAGUCUUUUGUUUUACAUUUAUUCCUUAGUUCUGUUUUCCCCCAUUGUGGGUGUUUUUUGUUCUGUUUUCUUGUUAAAUAAAUAUAUCUGUUAACCCCUUCACUGCCGUUGCCUGCAUUUGGGUUCUUCCACGCCCUGAUCGUGACAAAAAAACUCUAAAACAGCAACAGUAAAAUACUUUUUAAAGCUAAAUAGUAUAUCACCGUAUUGCAUACAUUAAAUUACCAUAAUUUAAGAAACAGUACAUACAUUUUAUUUUUACUCUCUUAAUAUGUAAAAAACACAGAUUCUUACAGUAAAAUUUUAAAUUUUUGGUGAAAUUAAUGGGAAAAUACUGAGCCUUUACAAACAAGGAAUUACCUUAAAAACAAUGGUAUUAUUCUGUGUAAAUUACACAUUUUCUUAAUGUGUACUGUAGAAUAUACAAUAUAAAACUGUUUAAAAUCCAACAAACACAUGUUUAACAUCUUGUUACUGUAGGAUUUAAGGUAUAUGUUUAUCUUUUUGUCAAUUUUAGUUAAAACUUUAAAUACUCUGUAAUUUACUGUACUUUUGUGUAUUGUUCUUUUAUGGAUCUAAUCUGAUAGUUAAUGCUAAUUGCAAUGAAAACAAAACGAAUGUAUUUAAGAAAGUCAAGAAAUAAUUUUAUCAUAGCUUUUCUAAAAAGAGAUUUUCCACAUUAUUUCAUAAUUACCACAACUAGACUAUGAAUAGGAUGAACAAAGCAAAAAUGUUCAAACAUAGGGAAAAAACUUGACCAUUUUAAAACAAUUAUGAAACUGUGUUUUUAUUAGUGGUGCUUGCGAAAUGGCAUUUGAAAUAAUAAUAAAAAGCCUGAACAAACGAAGAAACACACAAGAGGAAGAAGAUCGUCUCCCCGCUUCUAAGAUUAGGCCUGUGAAUUGCGCAGCGCGACCUGCAUGCAGCAAGUGGUGAGUACUCCUUUGGCUACUUUUCCACGGGGUAACUUGCAAAUUGCAAAGCUAAGGUAACAGAUUAUAGUGCACUGCUAACGCAAAGUGUAAUUCUGAUGCCUUGUCAACUUGCAUUUAAGCUUGCGUUUUCAAAUGACUUAAAUUAAGGUUACGUGGUAACUCACUAAUGAAAAAUGUGCUUGGAAACUCAUACACUGCUAAUGCGAAGUGUACUUUUGACGUCUUUUAAUCUUCUUUUAAUCCAUUUCUUGGCUUACUUUUAAAAAUGCUUAAGAGAGCACGACAAUUCAUUAAUAACGUUAACGGUCGAUGUCGUUUUAUAUUUCAGUCAGCGCCAUCUUAGCGCGCCAAGCAGCUGCUUUUGGAAUACCAUCCUCGUCCAUCCUUUUGAUUUCUGGGGGUUCAACAUUUCUUUUCGAGGUAAGCCAAACAAUACUGUUACAAACUAAAAAGUUAAAGUUAUUUAUUUUCCUUUCGUUGUUGUUAUUUAACCAGUUUUGGCUAUGUUUAGUUGCAAUUUCUGUGGCAAGUCGGUCAAAUCAUUGAGGGGGUAUGUACUUCAUUGUAAACUUCAUCGACUUCAUGUGACAUCAAAGAGUGGUGAGAUUUUUUUAAUUACUUUUAAAGACAUAUUUUUGCCGUAUAUGCUUUGUUGAACGUUUUGUUGAAUUUGGUCUUAUUCAGGAACAAAUGUAUUUUCUUUUAUCUCCUUUUCUUAUGUUACAAGAGGCUGUGUGCGACAGGGACCUCAUCAAUCUCUUUUUCUUCUGGAAAAUUCACGGGAUUGGCAAGUUUCUGAGCUUUAAGGAUCAUGUCAACACCUGAUCAUUGUAACCUGUCUGCAAGAGACUCUGUCCCACCUCUCUUCAGUCAAGUCUGGACCCAGUAAUUCAGACACCUCAAGGAUAAUUAAUGAAAGAUGAAGAAAAUGGCAGUCCAUGAAGUACUACAUUUCCAGUUUCUCGAACUGAUUUAGUGCCAUGUCUUCAGUCAGGUGUGGACUUAUUAUUAUUGUUCAAACAGAGCAAGUGGCCCUGGUUUACUUUUAUAUAUGGACACAUUUUAUUUCCAAGCUCAACAUUGUGAGUACACUGCAAGUUAUUGAAUCAGCUCAAACUGUUUUAACACAGUGUCAGUAUGCAAAAACGGGUUUUUUUUUGCAUACUGUUAAUGAUCUGUUAAUGAUAAUUUGUGUGUUGAUUGACUGCAUUUAUUACCUCAUUUAGUAAUUCACAAUAACCUGACUGACUGUUGUAAAAUCUAUGGCAACCACUUGUAAUGCCUUUUGUGUUAUACCGUAUUUUUUGCGAUGAAAUUCUGGCAACCACAGCUGCCGGUAAUUUUCUGUAAAAUUGAAGUUUACAAUAAAAUACUAUAAUAUUUCAUACGGUUGAAUUGUGUUUAUUACGGAGAUAGACUGUAAUUACUAUUAAAGAAAUUUACACUUGCAAAUGCUAUUUUUAAAGUAAAUUACUGUAAACAGGUUUACAUUACAUCUGUUUUAUUUAACAGUAGUGUACCGUAAACAAGCAGCAAUUCGCUACUGUAAAAUUUACGGUUGCAAAAAAACAUUCUGUAAAGUGUUCCACAUUGUAACCUUAUAUUUUACGGUGAACUUAUGGCAACCACAGCUGCCGGUAUUUUACUGUAUAUUACACAUGUUUUUUUUUACAGUGUAGAAAAACGAUUUUAACAAUGUGCCUGUUUGGUCGUUAGGACAUGCUCAUCACGUCCCAGCAACAUUAUUUGGUACGUCGCUGAGAUGAAUAUAGUACAUUCCAGGUAAGUCUUCAGGAGGUAAUCACCACGUCCCAGCAACGUCCAAAGUUACAUCGCUGGAAUGUUAUUUGGUACAUCGCUGCCACGAACACGGUCCGGUCCAGAUAUGUCGUCACAUCGUAACUGUGUUAACUGGGGUAGCAGACUGAAAAGUUAGUGUCUUUCUGCAGUCCAACAGACAGCAGUGUACUGGGGCCGGUUGCACCAGCUGUACAACUUAGCCUAGUUUUGACUUCAACGGGCACUAAGUUACAAUUUAUGCACUACUAAAUAUUUUUGAGUUGCACCAUUCAACUUAGUUGAAGCGUAAUGUUACGUACAAACUAAAUAUUUACGGAAGCCUCCUAUCAGGAGUAACUGUAGGAAUAAAAUAGCAGACUCACUGUACUAAUGGAAUAAGCUCUUGUUUCACUCGACAUUUUUCAAUGAUUUACACACGAUAUAAUGCUGACAUUUACAGUCACUUACCUUUUAAAAUAGAGAACAUUAUGUGAUGACAUUUAAUUUUUGAUGGCUCUAACAAGAACCGUCCUAGCGUGCCUGUCAUUUAUUAUUGCAUUAAGUAGGCUGUAUUGUUAAAAUGUUUUUUUACCGUUAUUAUGUGAGGUAAAAUAAGUUUAAAUCAAGAAAGUUUUGAAAUUCACAAUAUUUCAACACAACUUUUUCUCAGGAAUUGAAAGGCUGCUAUUGGACUGUUGAAGGUAAACGUCAUAUUAUGCGACUACGCAUUACUUUACGGAGAGCUUAUGAACUACUAGCUACGUUCUGCCUCAAGACCAAAUGGUGCAACUGAAUAACAUACAGAUUUAGUUACAAACUAGCUAGUAGUUACUAAGCCUCUAGUGUGGACUUUACGUUCACGUUUAAGAAAGAACUUGCGAAUGGCUGGUGCAACCCUACCCAGGUAACUAGAGUCUGUUGACUGGUGAAUCAACACUAAGUUGUCACCUAGUUAGUGGGACGCAAUGCUAUAAACAAUGUCCCCGUCUUUUACUCUCACAAUGAGCUCAUCAUAUUCGCAUGCUACAUUAGUAGGGCCCUAUAAUUUCCAUGGAAUCUGUCACAUUUUUAUGAAUAUAUAAAACCACACUCAUUUGGACCAUAAAGUACUGUAAUACACACUGCAAACAGAGUAAGUUAUAGCCUAUGUGUAACAAGUGUAAAUCAAUUACACAUCUAUUCACCAAGCUCUAUGGGUCUUCAACCGGGGAUCCACGACCCCUAAGGAGUCCGCUGUGGAACUGUAGGGGGUCCGCUGAUUAAUGUUUACUCACAGAGUACUUUUUACACCAGCAGCUGGGCUUUUUCCCGCAUGCUCAGCGCAAGCGCUCUGCUCUCCAUUUUUUCCACACUCAGCAUACCUAUGCUUGAUGAAGCAGCACAGAAUAGGCGCCCGCAGAUCUCCGCAGAAAAUUUCUGUGGAUUUUAGCGCUUUCUAUUGACAAGUAGACACACACAACAUGAGCGUGUUACUAGAAUGCUGAGCAUGCAGGAAAAAGCCCAGCUGUUAACUGUGACAGAUUUUAAUGAGCCUGACGAUGUGAUAUUUGAGAUGUUUAAAACGAAACUAACCGCCGAAGACGUUCAGUGAACGUAUCUGUUAUAAGACACCGCUGGAUCAUUUCAAAUCCGUUCACAAUAAGAAUGAACGACAGGCGAAAUCUCUUGUAAGUUUUAUUUGAAGUUAUCUUCACGUUGUGUUUUGUGAACAUGCGGAAAAGUGUCAUUAUAUACUUUUUCUUACAGUACAAUAUAUAAAUAUGGUCUUGACAUGGACCUUUUCUGUUGGUUCAAAUGAAUUCAGAGUAAUUUGGUCAGGUGUAUUCAGAGUUUAAACAGUCUUGGCAUUAAUCAAUAACAACUUUUUAAAUAAGCAGAACUAAAUCUGAUUUUAAAUUUAAAUGCAUAGACAGGCAGCAUUUUAAGACUAUUUGAACACAUUUACACAUAUUUAUAUGUGUGUACAAAUGUAAACACAUUUAAAACUAUUCUAUGGAAUUCUGCAGGUUUUUUCCCAAAUUUUAAACUGAAAUUAACAAAAAAAGUCUGCAGAUUUCGUAUGGCCCUACUUAUGAGGGAAAACAAAUUGGAAAAAAAAGUUUUUUUUGUGAGCAAAACCUAUGAGGGAAGAUUUACGCACAUCAGGAUAACUAAAAGUAUGUGAUUUAAAGAUUUAAAUUCAUGUAAUGCGGCUCUUAAAAAAAUAAUUUGGCGCCUGCUUUUUCCCCCUACAGGAGCCAAUGGCUCCUUAAUGGUGGAGUGGUUGAUUUGGAAGGUGCUAACUUUAGCCUGCUAGCCCUGAAAUUAUAAUCCCACCCUCUAUGCGAUUCGCCAUCCAAACCCACGCCUCCUCCAAACACAUGAAUGUAUUUAGUAAAUCCACGUAACGAAUUACAAACUAAAUCCAUUAAAUUCUUCUAGAAGCAUGUACAUACCUGUCCAAAAGAAAGAGAGCAACCAUGGUAUCGUCUUUCAGACCCUUUGCCUGCCAGGCAGUCUCCAUCGUGUAAAAGCUGAACUGAUGUUAAUUUGAGUUUUUCCUCUUUCAUGAUCCAGACGUUUUUUCGUCACUGCUUUUUCAAAAACUGACUUUCGUUUUGUAGAUUUACUUGUUGUCGGUUCCGCAGGAAAGUUUGAUUGUUGCUGAUUGUCUGCCAUUCUCCCUACAUUGACACAGCGGACGUGAGCGCGCUGCGGCGCUGAUGACGUAUGGUCUGCGUGAACAGGGUGCGCAGUGGUAUGCAAAAUACAUUGGCUGAAAAUGUACACAUGAGCAGUCACAGCGUUCGGCCAGAACGUUUUGAUUGGGCGAACGUUUUUUGGUUCUACUCCUUUCACAGACGAAAUAUAAUUAUAAAAAUAUUAUUUGACCACUAUAAUUGUUGAUUGCUAUCAGGAUGUAAAGAGAUUUCCAACCAACAUGACAAAAAAUGUUUCUGGAAAGGAUCACCCACCACGCCUUUAAAUGAUUUUUUUUGUCUGGAGCCCUCACAUGGGUACAAAACUGUUAUAACCUGUUCACUUUAAGCUGAGCACCUGCAUCUAGACAAAAACUUCCCUUCAGGCAGCAGAAGCGAUAGAAGAAACGUUACAUCUGCAUCAUAAUAAAACAGGUAGGGCCUUAAUCCUUUAAAUUUAGAAUCCGUGUAUUCUCUCCCUUCCAAUGAGUGUAGAGUGAGCAUGAAAGGAGUUGCGUGCAAACAAAGUGCAUUGUCAUUCGUUUCUCAACUUGGAAGGCUAUUUAAUACCGUUUUAACUUGUUAAAGCUGUAAAGCGCUAAUUUGACAGGCAAAUGACACCAUACCGCUUCUGCAUCAUAAACUCCCGACAAAACGCUCGCGUCGCGUACAGUGAUGGUGCAAGUCAAACAAGUUUCCCCCAAAAUACCACGGACUCGUUGCAUGUUGCUCUCCAGAAAGUGUAACAGCCGUGACAAUACAGAUGAAAGAAAACGGAGCUAGGGCUGUCACGAUUAUAAAAUAAUCGUCUCAUCGCGAUUGUUUGGCCUCAUCGCGAUGGUUUCAGAUCAUCGCAAUUAUUUCACAUCUCUAUAGAAGACACUAGGGGGAGCUGUAGUGCAUCUGCAUAUGACAUAUUUUAGUGUAUUGAUUGUAACUAAAGCAUUGUGAUACUUGUAAAAUGUACCACCACUUCACAAUAAAAACUAAAGCAUAUACCAUAAAAAUAACCUGCAGUACAAUUUAAUAUUAUUUAAGAUAAUCUCAGUGUGAAAACCAGUCUACCAAAAUUUUAUUAACAUAGAAGUAAAAUUUUAUUGUAUCUUGUAAGUGAGAAAAAAACAGACUAGAAGCAAUUCUAUGACUGAUAACAUAUCAAUGGUGGCUUCACUCCUGAUCAAUUUACUUAAUUUACAAGUAUAUGGCAGUUGUAUUAUUGACAGGUAAAAGCCUAAACCUAAAAUAUAUGAUAAACCAAUAUUUUCCGAUGUAUUUCCAAGAAAAAAAAAACAUAUUUUUUAUAUUCAGAACAAUAUGGUCGUUUCAAAGCUGAAUCAAAAAUGUAUGAGAAUUAAAUGUCAAAGCUCUAAAACAGACAAUUAAUCGCCAUAAUCGUCAAAGCCCUAAAAGAAACAAUUAAUGGUCAUAAUCGCAAUGAUUUACUAGACAAUUAAUCGUCAGCCAAAUUUCAUAAUCGUGACAGCCCUAAACGGACCUCAGAAUUAUAAAAGAGCAGCGUGUUCUGCACUCAGAGAGAAGCAAAAAAAUAGCACUUAAUAAAACGGCCUGCUUUUACAACAGAAUGCAUAACAUCUGUCCCGAUUUCUCUUGCAUCCUGAGACAACAUCUACCUCCACUAGACCAGACUUUGUGCUAUUAACCUGGGUCAGUCAUCUCAUUUAAGUCUUAAUAAACUUAAAGCUAAGUAAAUGUUUAUGGUCCAUCUCACAGUAAAAUGAAAAUGUAUGGUGCUGAAAGUCCCUUAAAAUAAUCAAUAUAUUUUAACAAUAAAAAAUAAUACACAGAAAAUGAUGUAUGUGCAACAAUAGCAUGCAUAAUAGUGCCGUGACAAUAUGGGUUGUUUAUAUUUAAAUAGCUCUGUUUUACACAUUUAGUAUCAGGGGUCCAUGCAUCUCUCAUCUAAGGGGUCCUUGCCCCGAAUAAAUGUUGAAGAUCCCUGCUCUGUAACCAAUUGAAUAAGGCUAUUCUGGGUAAGAAAAGCUGAUUUAG
This is a long non-coding RNA of Triplophysa rosa, 7956 nucleotides long. RefSeq lists it as uncharacterized. The transcript has 4 exons. Lineage: Eukaryota; Metazoa; Chordata; Actinopteri; Cypriniformes; Nemacheilidae. The record is from RefSeq and is a predicted model, not a curated record.